Long non-coding RNA from Gossypium raimondii (Peruvian cotton), 278 nucleotides. RefSeq lists it as uncharacterized. Lineage: Eukaryota; Viridiplantae; Streptophyta; Magnoliopsida; Malvales; Malvaceae. The transcript is spliced from 2 exons. The record is from RefSeq and is a predicted model, not a curated record.
AAAAGAUUGAAGAACAAAUCCAAGAGCUUGACAAGAUUGAAAAUGGUUUAAUGCAAAUGGAGAUAUUUUGGAGAGAUGAAAUGGAUAUAUUUUGGAAAGAUGAAAUGGAUAUAAAAGGAGAAUGUUAAAAACAUACAUUUCAAUUAUGUGUUAAUUCAAGACUUAUGUAAUAUUUUUAAUUAUGUAGUGAUUCAAAGACUUAUGUAAUAUUUUUAAUUAUGUAGUGAUUCAAAUAUUUAUGUAAUGUUUUUAAUUAUGUAGUGAUUUAAUUCGGGUAA